Molecule: ribosomal RNA, 342 nt
Filed under: Clostridioides difficile
Lineage: Bacteria; Bacillati; Bacillota; Clostridia; Peptostreptococcales; Peptostreptococcaceae
Description: partial 23S ribosomal RNA
Rfam family: Bacterial large subunit ribosomal RNA
Source: RNAcentral
AUAGCUGGUUCUCCCCGAAAUAGCUUUAGGGCUAGCCUCAAGGUGAGAGAUACGGAGGUAGAGCACUGAAUGUCCUAGGGGGUAUUGCACCUACCGAAGACUAUCAAACUCCGAAUGCCGUCAUCUUAUACUUGGGCGUCAGACUGUGGGUGAUAAGAUUCAUAGUCGAAAGGGCAACAGCCCAGAUCGUCAGCUAAGGUCCCUAAAUGUAAGUUAAGUGGUAAAGGAUGUGGGAGUGCACAGACAACCAGGAUGUUGGCUUAGAAGCAGCCACUCAUUCAAAGAGUGCGUAAUAGCUCACUGGUCGAGUGAUCCUGCGCCGAAGAUUUCCGGGGCUAAAAC